RNAcentral lists this ribosomal RNA (328 nucleotides) under uncultured eukaryote. RNAcentral describes it as "partial 18S ribosomal RNA". It matches the Rfam family "Eukaryotic small subunit ribosomal RNA", at positions 1470 to 1796 of the family's 1831-position model. The record is from RNAcentral.
CCCUUAGAUGCUCUGGGCCGCACGCGCGCUACACUGAUGCAUUCAACGAGCUUAUAACCUUGGCCGAGAGGCCUGGGCAAUCUUGUUAACGUGCAUCGUGAUAGGGAUAGAUUAUUGAAAUUAUUAAUCUUGAACGAGGAAUUCCUAGUAAACGCAGAUCAUCAAUCUGCAUUGAUUACGUCCCUGCCCUUUGUACACACCGCCCGUCGCACCUACCGAUUGGAUGGUCCGGUGAAGCCUCGGGAUUGUGGUUCUUGCCGCUUUAUUGUGGCGUGACCGCGAGAACUUGUCUAAACCUUAUCAUCUAGAGGAAGGUGAAGUCGUAACA